This 1467-nucleotide ribosomal RNA is filed under the name Pantoea sp. S1. RNAcentral describes it as "bacterial SSU rRNA". It matches the Rfam family "Bacterial small subunit ribosomal RNA". The record is from RNAcentral. Lineage: Bacteria; Pseudomonadati; Pseudomonadota; Gammaproteobacteria; Enterobacterales; Erwiniaceae.
GCUCAGAUUGCACGCUGGCCACACGUAUCACACGCGCAUGUCAGACUAUCGCACAGAGAGCUUGUUCUUGGGUGACGAGUGGCGGACGGGUGAGUAAUGUCUGGGGAUCUGCCCGAUAGAGGGGGAUAACCACUGGAAACGGUGGCUAAUACCGCAUAACGUCGCAAGACCAAAGAGGGGGACCUUCGGGCCUCUCACUAUCGGAUGAACCCAGAUGGGAUUAGCUAGUAGGCGGGGUAAUGGCCCACCUAGGCGACGAUCCCUAGCUGGUCUGAGAGGAUGACCAGCCACACUGGAACUGAGACACGGUCCAGACUCCUACGGGAGGCAGCAGUGGGGAAUAUUGCACAAUGGGCGCAAGCCUGAUGCAGCCAUGCCGCGUGUAUGAAGAAGGCCUUCGGGUUGUAAAGUACUUUCAGCGGGGAGGAAGGCGACGGGGUUAAUAACCGCGUCGAUUGACGUUACCCGCAGAAGAAGCACCGGCUAACUCCGUGCCAGCAGCCGCGGUAAUACGGAGGGUGCAACGUUAUCGGAUUACUGGGCGUAAGCGCACGCAGGCGGUCUGUUAAGUCAGAUGUGAAAUCCCCGGGCUUAACCUGGGAACUGCAUUUGAAACUGGCAGGCUUGAGUCUUGUAGAGGGGGGUAGAAUUCCAGGUGUAGCGGUGAAAUGCGUAGAGAUCUGGAGGAAUACCGGUGGCGAAGGCGGCCCCCUGGACAAAGACUGACGCUCAGGUGCGAAAGCGUGGGGAGCAAACAGGAUUAGAUACCCUGGUAGUCCACGCCGUAAACGAUGUCGACUUGGAGGUUGUUCCCUUGAGGAGUGGCUUCCGGAGCUAACGCGUUAAGUCGACCGCCUGGGGAGUACGGCCGCAAGGUUAAAACUCAAAUGAAUUGACGGGGGCCCGCACAAGCGGUGGAGCAUGUGGUUUAAUUCGAUGCAACGCGAAGAACCUUACCUACUCUUGACAUCCAGCGAACUUUCCAGAGAUGGAUUGGUGCCUUCGGGAACGCUGAGACAGGUGCUGCAUGGCUGUCGUCAGCUCGUGUUGUGAAAUGUUGGGUUAAGUCCCGCAACGAGCGCAACCCUUAUCCUUUGUUGCCAGCGAUUCGGUCGGGAACUCAAAGGAGACUGCCGGUGAUAAACCGGAGGAAGGGGGGGAUGACGUCAAGUCAUCAUGGCCCUUACGAGUAGGGCUACACACGUGCUACAAUGGCGCAUACAAAGAGAAGCGACCUCGCGAGAGCAAGCGGACCUCACAAAGUGCGUCGUAGUCCGGAUCGGAGUCUGCAACUCGACUCCGUGAAGUCGGAAUCGCUAGUAAUCGUGGAUCAGAAUGCCACGGUGAAUACGUUCCCGGGCCUUGUACACACCGCCCGUCACACCAUGGGGAGUGGGUUGCAAAAGAAGUAGGUAGCUUAACCUUCGGGAGGGCGCUUACCACUUUGUGAUUCAUGACUGGGGUGAA